UUGGUGGAUAGCAGAGGGGAAGAAAGGAGAAAAAGAAGAAGAAAGAGUGCAACUGUACUUGGAGCUGCAAUUUUGGGGCUGCCUACACCUACGAUGGUGGAACCUGAGCUGGAGUGAGUCCAAACUCAGUAAAGGUUGUGAGGCUAUGUCUGUGUGACAUCAUAUGGAGGACUGAGAUUUUCUUUGCUUUUGAGAUUUUAUUAUGGUGUUUGUAACGUAUAGUUAAUUAUGGUAAUUGUGAGUUGUAAUCAAAUUGGGUUUAUAAUUAUUAUUUAUCAUUAGAUUUGAUCACCAUGGGUUAUGUAAAAUAUAAAUUUUCCUUUAUAUGCAUACUAUGAUUUAGUA
Long non-coding RNA from Macadamia integrifolia, 345 nucleotides. RefSeq lists it as uncharacterized. The record is from RefSeq and is a predicted model, not a curated record. Lineage: Eukaryota; Viridiplantae; Streptophyta; Magnoliopsida; Proteales; Proteaceae. The transcript has 2 exons.